RNAcentral lists this long non-coding RNA (2265 nucleotides) under Oryzias javanicus (javanese ricefish). Its description in RNAcentral is "lncRNA (ENSOJAG00000009885.1)". The record is from RNAcentral. Lineage: Eukaryota; Metazoa; Chordata; Actinopteri; Beloniformes; Adrianichthyidae.
AAUUGUGCAUCAUUACAUACUUAUAAAAUCGUCUCUGCCCUCACCUGCUUCCUCGUCUGCUCUGGCUGUUCAAUAGAUGUGGGGACCGCAGAAACUGGUCUCCAAAGAUGAGAUCCGGUCAGAACCACACGUUGACUCAGCACAGCAGCUAACGUGGCAGAGAGUUCAGCGCCGCGGCAGAGCAGAAGGAUCACAUGAUGCCGAGAACAAUGACCGACCGCCAAUUACCAUCAGGGCAGUUUUCACCCCCCGACUGUCUUGCACUGAAGUUUCAACUCCAAGAAACCAUGUCACAGGAAGGAAAAAAAAUAAAAAGGAACAAGGGAACGGACAUAAAAGAAAACUGUGUUCUUUAAAACCAUGAUGACAAAAAUAAAGAAAAGGCCAACUUGUGUGUACAUAGACCUCUUCAUGUGUUGCUUAACCUCAGCUCUAUUGCAAUCUUAUACAGUAUUUGCCAAUGUACAGUUUAAAAUGUUUGUUUGAAAACAUUAAGGGAAAAAAAAUGACUUUGUCAGUCAAACGUGAUGGAUCUUAAGCGAGAAAAGGAGAAACAGGGUGUCACUGAGAGCGAAGCGAAACUGCAGGAACUGACAAUCGUUCCCAGAAGGACUCUUUUCAUCAGUGGCACUCCCACUGCGCCAAAAGUCACUCCGUAUCCAGACGUGGUCACUCAUUAUGGGAAGUUGGAUUCACCAGGAUAGACGGAAAAAAAGAAAUCAACGGACCUGCACUGCCUGCGCCGGAGUUCAUAGAAGAGGCAUAAAAAAAAAAAAAAAAAACGCAGAGGAGGAAAAACAGGACAGAGGGAAGGGAUGCUGAUAUAUGCAAACGCAGUGACACAGAUUUGAAAAGGCUAGUUCCUCUGGUUGGCUCGUGAACAGAGGCGUGAAGCUCCCAUGUGGCUCUCAGAGCGUGGGGAAAUCUCAAGCCCACUGAUUCAACCUGUACAUUUCUGUUAUUAAUGUUUACCAUGUGGAGCCCGGAGAUUACUGGAAUUUGUGUUUUUUUUAAUGCUUUAUGUCACUAUGUAUUUUAAAUUUGCAACAUUUGAAUUUCAGGGUCGCGAAGAACACAAUUUGCGUCUCUCUUGUGAGAUAAACUUAUAAAAAAGCCCGAUCUUUGGCUCUCCUGGAGAGUGCCCACACUCAUAUCCUGUGUUUUUUAUUUUUUUUUUUUAUUUGCAGCAUCUUAUUGUCCUUUACGAAAGCUGGAAGACCCUCAUAACAAAACUUUAAUCCAUUUUGUUAUGUAAAUACUUGGAAUUCAUUGAACCUGAGAUGCACUUUUGUAUGAAACUUUAAUGUUUUGACAUUUUGAUUGACAAUUGUUCUUACCCAGUUUACAGGAAAUCACCACCUCCUGCUGCAAAAAGACGGUUGUCUCCGAUGUUAUUAAAAUGUAUUGUACAAAUAUGGAGUUCUGUAUUUGGCAGACCUCGUUUUUUUUUUUUUUUGUUUUUUUUUUUGUGUUGCACAUGUGAUGGAAAUAUUAAAAACUGUAUAAGGAAAACGGUGUCGACGUCUCUCCGUCUAAAGGGAUUCUAAAAAGCUCAAUUAACCCAUCAGAGAAGAGCCGUGACAGCACAAAGACAAUCAUCAUCACAAGCUUACUCGGCUUUUUUCAUUGGAUCAAAUUGCAUUCUAUUUUUCUUAACUCCCUCCUGACUCGCUAACGACAUCUAAGCAUCUUGAGGGAGGUCUGUGUUAUUAAUGACUCCAUUACCCAUCACCCUGUGCGGUCCCAUUCCACACACCCCUGCGCGAGGUUCUAUUUAGGGAGCCUCCAACACUCCGGGGGACUGUGGAAAAGAGUCCUCCGCCUUUGCCGAAUGGGACAUUAGCAUCUGUCUGUCUCUGCAGAUGAUUCAUCAGAGGUGACACACGACCAGGAGAAGAGUUGUGGAGAUUUUAGAUUUGGUUUAAAAACACCGACCUUUGUGCAAAUGUAUCACUGUAAGCAACAAAGCUACAGAUUCCUUAAAGCACGUUUCAAGUCCAGAUCAGUUUAUUUUAUUGUUAUUAAUGGCCCAAUGUUAUGUUGCACUUAUUUUUAACUUGUAUAAUUUUAGCAAAAUUUAUUUUCAUGGAGAGUAAAAUAUUAAAAGUUAUUCAAGGUUUAAGUUUAUUUAUUCUGGAAUAAUAUUCCUGCCUUUUAUUAUUCUUAAUAUGUAGGAAAGUUUUGGUUUUAAUCUUUUGAAAGAUUGGCAUUCUGCUAGUUUUUUGGACUGUUUUGCCAUUCACUAAGAUUUUUUGGUGGUUUUGA